RNAcentral lists this non-coding RNA (88 nucleotides) under human gut metagenome. RNAcentral's name for it is "Cyclic di-GMP-I riboswitch". It matches the Rfam family "c-di-GMP-I riboswitch aptamer", at positions 11 to 85 of the family's 87-position model. From Rfam's summary of the family: GEMM was predicted in a large-scale screen for bacterial structured RNA regulatory elements. Genes associated with GEMM are involved in a diverse array of functions, including chemotaxis regulation, signal transduction, secretion and chitin. The record is from RNAcentral.
UUGGUAAACUUGUCGAAAGGCAGGGACACAAAGCCACGGGUCUACGGUCUGCUCUCGCAGGAGGGCGGGCUAUGACAGCCGGUUGCCA